UACGUAGGUCCCGAGCGUCGUCCGGAUUUAUUGGGCGUAAAGCGAGCGCAGGUGGUUUAUUAAGUCUGGUGUAAAAGGCAGUGGCUCAACCAUUGUAUGCAUUGGAAACUGGUAGACUUGAGCGCGGGAGAGGAGAGUGGAAUUCCAUGUGUAGCGGUGAAAUGCGUAGAUAUAUGGAGGAACACCGGUGGCGAAAGCGGCUCUCUGGCCUGUAACUGACACUGAGGCUCGAAAGCGUGGGGAGCAAACAGG
This 252-nucleotide ribosomal RNA is filed under the name uncultured bacterium. RNAcentral's name for it is "partial 16S ribosomal RNA". It matches the Rfam family "Bacterial small subunit ribosomal RNA", at positions 524 to 776 of the family's 1533-position model. The record is from RNAcentral.